Molecule: ribosomal RNA, 296 nt
Filed under: uncultured bacterium
Lineage: Bacteria
Description: partial 16S ribosomal RNA
Rfam family: Bacterial small subunit ribosomal RNA
Source: RNAcentral
GAUGAACGCUGACAGAAUGCUUAACACAUGCAAGUCGACUCGGGUCUUCGGACUUGGGUGGCGCACGGGUGAGUAACGCGUAAAGAACUUGCCUCUUAGACCGGGACAACAUCUGGAAACGGAUGCUAAUACCGGAUAUUAUGGUUUUUCGCAUGGAGGAAUCAUGAAAGCUAGAUGCGCUAAGAGAGAGCUUUGCGUCCCAUUAGCUAGUUGGUGAGGUAACGGCCCACCAAGGCAAUGAUGGGUAGCCGGCCUGAGAGGGUGAACGGCCACAAGGGGACUGAGACACGGCCCUU